This 280-nucleotide ribosomal RNA is filed under the name uncultured prokaryote. Its description in RNAcentral is "partial 16S ribosomal RNA". It matches the Rfam family "Archaeal small subunit ribosomal RNA", at positions 455 to 734 of the family's 1478-position model. The record is from RNAcentral.
GUGUCAGCCGCCGCGGUAAUACCGGCAGCCCGAGUGAUGGCCGAUCUUAUUGGGCCUAAAGCGUCCGUAGCUGGCCGCGCAAGUCUGUCGGGAAAUCCACCCGCUUAACGGGUGGGCGUCCGGCGGAAACUGUGCGGCUUGGGACAGGAAGGCUCGAGGGGUACGUUCGGGGUAGGAGUGAAAUCCCGUAAUCCUGAACGGACCACCGAUGGCGAAAGCACCUCGAGAGGACUGAUCCGACAGUGAGGGACGAAAGCUGGGGUCUCGAACCGGAUUAGAA